GGCCAGACUCCUACGGGAGGCAGCAGUGGGGAAUAUUGCACAAUGGGGGAAACCCUGAUGCAGCAACGCCGCGUGAGUGAAGAAGUAUUUCGGUAUGUAAAGCUCUAUCAGCAGGGAAGAAGAUGACGGUACCUGAGUAAGAAGCCCCGGCUAACUACGUGCCAGCAGCCGCGGUAAUACGUAGGGGGCAAGCGUUAUCCGGAUUUACUGGGUGUAAAGGGAGCGUAGACGGCUGCGCAAGUCUGAAGUGAAAGCCCGGGGCUCAACCCCGGGACUGCUUUGGAAACUGUGUAGCUAGAGUGCUGGAGAGGCAAGCGGAAUUCCUAGUGUAGCGGUGAAAUGCGUAGAUAUUAGGAAGAACACCAGUGGCGAAGGCGGCUUGCUGGACAGUAACUGACGUUGAGGCUCGAAAGCGUGGGGAGCAAACAGGAUUAGAUACCCCCGUAUUA
RNAcentral lists this ribosomal RNA (449 nucleotides) under uncultured bacterium. Its description in RNAcentral is "bacterial SSU rRNA". It matches the Rfam family "Bacterial small subunit ribosomal RNA", at positions 329 to 795 of the family's 1533-position model. The record is from RNAcentral.